CCUACGGGUGGCAGCAGUGGGGAAUAUUGCGCAAUGGGCGCAACCCUGACGCAGCGAUGCCGCGUGAGUGAAGAAGUACUUCGGUAUGUAAAGCUCUAUCAGCAGCGAAGAGAGUGACGGUACCGGAAUAAGAAGCACCAGCUAACUACGUGCCAGCAGCCGCGGGAAUACUUAGGGGGCGAGCGUUCGCCGGAAUGACUGGGUGUAAAGGGAGCGUAGACGGUGAUGCAAGUCAGAAGUGAAAGCGGGGGGCUCAACCCCGAGAGUGCAUCUGAAACUGUGUGACUGGAGUGCAGGAGAGGUAAGCGGAAUUCCUGGUGUAGCGGUGAAAUGCGUAGAUAUCAGGAGGAACACCAGUGGCGAAGGCGGCUUACUGG
RNAcentral lists this ribosomal RNA (377 nucleotides) under uncultured bacterium. RNAcentral's name for it is "partial 16S ribosomal RNA". It matches the Rfam family "Bacterial small subunit ribosomal RNA", at positions 338 to 732 of the family's 1533-position model. The record is from RNAcentral.